CCCAUUCAGCUUCAAGUGCUCCAGAUGCAAACAUUUCUGGCACACAGAAGAAAAUGUAAUCUGUUUCUUUGUGAAUCUGAACCUAAGGCCGAGACAAGGCAUUGUGAGGAUGAGGAUCUUCAGACAGGCAUGUAAGAAAUGCAAUUCUCCGAUGUCAGAACCUAAUAUCGCAGAGGAGAACAUCAAAAGGGCUGUCACUAAUCUGGUCAACUAUAUCCAGAGAAAAGUUUACAAAAAGGAAAGUGUGGGAAAAAAAUUAGCACCACAUACAUAUUUUAAAACACGUGGACCGCAUGACACGGAUCAUUGUGAGGCUUGCAUGUAUGGUCUUUGUAAUGUAACAUCUGAGAAUAUUGAAAAACAUAAUACAGAAGAAGAUAAUACAGUUCCAGCUGUAUUAUCUGCUCUUGCUGUUGGGAUUCUUGCUGGAGGGUUAAGUUUUCUUUUUUCACAAAAAUGAUUGAUUGAAGAGGAUCUUGUAGUUGUGGAUGUUGUGGUUUUUUUUACAACCCUUAUCUAAACAUAUUUUAAAAAUAAACAUUGUGUAAUUUAAUGCAA
Non-coding RNA from Pelobates cultripes (western spadefoot toad), 558 nucleotides. Lineage: Eukaryota; Metazoa; Chordata; Amphibia; Anura; Pelobatidae. The record is from the annotation of a GenBank genome assembly.